GACAGAGGGUGCAAACGUUGCUCGGAAUCACUGGGCGUAAAGGGCGCGUAGGCGGGAAUGUAAGUCGGGCGUGAAAUCCCUAGGCUCAACCUAGGAACUGCACUCGAAACUGCGUUUCUUGAGUAUCGGAGAGGAAAGCGGAAUUCCUGGUGUAGAGGUGAAAUUCGUAGAUAUCAGGAGGAACACCAGUGGCGAAGGCGGCUUUCUGGACGGUAGCUGACGCUGAAGCGCGACAGCGUGGGGAGCAAACAGG
RNAcentral lists this ribosomal RNA (253 nucleotides) under uncultured bacterium. RNAcentral's name for it is "partial 16S ribosomal RNA". It matches the Rfam family "Bacterial small subunit ribosomal RNA", at positions 524 to 776 of the family's 1533-position model. The record is from RNAcentral.